This is a non-coding RNA of Pelobates cultripes (western spadefoot toad), 72 nucleotides long. The record is from the annotation of a GenBank genome assembly. NCBI's taxonomy places the organism in Eukaryota, Metazoa, Chordata, Amphibia, Anura, Pelobatidae.
ACAAGCUUUCGGGAGAACCUCCCUUUUUUUUUUCCUUCAGACUUGAGAAAGGGAGGUUCUCCCGAAAGCUUG